RNAcentral lists this ribosomal RNA (196 nucleotides) under uncultured bacterium. Its description in RNAcentral is "partial 16S ribosomal RNA". It matches the Rfam family "Bacterial small subunit ribosomal RNA", at positions 326 to 539 of the family's 1533-position model. The record is from RNAcentral.
ACGCUCGACAUACGGGAGCAGCAGUUGGGAAUAUUGGACAAUGGAGGAAACUCUGAUCCAGUGACGCCGCGUGAAGGAAGAAGGUCUUCGGAUUGUAAACUUAUUUUGUCAGGGAAGAAAAAUGACUGUACCUGAAGAAAAAGCACCGGCUAACUACGUGCCAGCAGCCGAGGUAAUCUGAGCGGGCUGGCAAGGC